CCUACGGGAGGCUGCAGUGAGGAAUAUUGGUCAAUGGGCGCGAGCCUGAACCAGCCAAGUAGCGUGAAGGAUGACUGCCCUACGGGUUGUAAACUUCUUUUAUAAAGGAAUAAAGGGAGGCACGUGUGCCGUUUUGUAUGUACUUUAUGAAUAAGGAUCGGCUAACUCCGUGCCAGCAGCCGCGGUAAUACGGAGGAUUCAAGCGUUAUCCGGAUUUAUUGGGUUUAAAGGGUGCGGAGGCAGUCUGUGAAGGUAGAGGUUAAAUCUCGAGGCUCAACUGCGGACGUGCCUCUGAUACUGUUCGGCUAGAGUGUACUUGAGGUAGGCGGAAUGUAUGGUGUAGCGGUGAAAUGCUUAGAGAUCAUACAGAACACCGAUUGCGAAGGCAGCUUACC
This 395-nucleotide ribosomal RNA is filed under the name uncultured bacterium. RNAcentral's name for it is "partial 16S ribosomal RNA". It matches the Rfam family "Bacterial small subunit ribosomal RNA", at positions 338 to 730 of the family's 1533-position model. The record is from RNAcentral.